UGUAACAAUGUCUGUGGUUGCAUAAAGGCAAGGAUAAUAGAUCGUCACCAAAAUUUGCACAAUAAGAAUACAUAUUUCUAUUCCACAUUUUAAAGGCUCGAUAUGAUGUCAGAAUAGGUAUAGAGGAAACAAGAAAUACAUAACAUAAAGAAUGUGAGGUGUGUUGAAACACACUCUUAAACGAAUGAAUGACUGGCAUUGUAAUUGAGAGAAACACUCGUCUCAAAUUAUAAUAGACUUUUUACCAAUUUUUGAAGCAACAUUCUUAUUUAAAGAAUAUAAUAGUUAAUAGUGGAGCAGAAAAGGAGUGCCAUUCUAGAGACGGAAAUAGCUAAGUAAACCAAGAAUGUUUUGCAGCGGCCUGUUGCUGAGUUCAACCAUUAUACUUUGAAACAUCCUUUCUAGUGCAAAAUGCUGGAGCAGGAAAAAGCUUGCUGUCACUUGGUGAAUAAAUAAAAAAUAUAUUUCUCGAGCUACUGAAGCACUCUAGUUUUAAGUGAUUUAUACUCUGUUCAAAGUAGUACAUGUAUAUUCUUCUAUUUCUGGCAAAUUACCCGUUCAAUAUAUGCAUAUGCGGUCACUUCUUCCAUUGAGGCAACCUCUGCACCACUACCUGUACAUAUCAUCGAACUACCAUUGUAUGAGCGAGCGCUAAAAUUGCAGACAGACAGUUGUUCAUUUUUAGUUGUUUACCCACAUGUUUAGGACCUUGAGAUGAUAAUAACGUCUGACUUGAAUUUGUUGGGAAUAAAACCCCUACCAAAAUAAUAUUCACGGUAAUAAAAGCGGAAUAAUAAUGUA
Molecule: long non-coding RNA, 801 nt
Filed under: Nicotiana benthamiana
Lineage: Eukaryota; Viridiplantae; Streptophyta; Magnoliopsida; Solanales; Solanaceae
Description: long non-coding RNA (NBEN_LNC019947)
Source: RNAcentral